GUGUCAGCAGCCGCGGUAAUACGGAGGGGGCUAGCGUUGUUCGGAAUUACUGGGCGUAAAGCGCACGUAGGCGGGCAUUUAAGUCGGGGGUGAAAUCCCGGGGCUCAACCCCGGAACUGCCUCCGAUACUGGGUGCCUUGAGGUCGGGAGAGGUGAGUGGAAUGGCGAGUGUAGAGGUGAAAUUCGUAGAUAUUCGCCGGAACACCAGUGGCGAAGGCGGCUCACUGGCCCGAUACUGACGCUGAGGUGCGAAAGCGUGGGGAGCAAACAGGAUUAGAAACCCGCGUAGUCC
This 292-nucleotide ribosomal RNA is filed under the name uncultured bacterium. Its description in RNAcentral is "partial 16S ribosomal RNA". It matches the Rfam family "Bacterial small subunit ribosomal RNA", at positions 505 to 796 of the family's 1533-position model. The record is from RNAcentral.